GGCUUAGAAGCAGCCACUCAUUAAAAGAGUGCGUAAUAGCUCACUGGUCGAGUGACUCUGCGCGGAAAAUAUAACGGGGCUAAGUAUGCAACCGAAGCUUGGGAUUGUCUAAAGACAGUGGUAGGGGAGCGUCGUGUAUGGGGUGAAGUCGCAUCGGAAGGAGCGGUGGACUGUACACGAGUGAGAAUGCCGGAAUGAGUAGCGAGAAUUAUGUGGGAAUCAUAAUGGCCGAAAAUCUAAGGUUUCUUGGGGAAGGUUCGUCCGCCCAAGGUAAGCCGGGAGCUAAGGCGAGGCCGCAAGGCGUAGUCGAUGCACAUACGGUAGAAAUUCCGUAGCCACCGAACCUUAAACCGGAAGGACACUUUCAGAUAGCAGAACCCAGCCGUUGGUAGAGCUGGGCGAAAGGGACUGAAAUAUAGUAGGGAAGUCUGCGAUGCUGAGAGGCGAGAAAAGCUCCGGUGUAUGCUAAGGUGCCCGUACCGCAAACCGACACAGGUAGAUGAGGAGAGAAUCCUAAGGCCAACGGGAGAAGGGUUGUUAAGGAACUCGGCAAAUUGACCCCGUAACUUCGGAAGAAGGGGAGCCCCGAAAGGGGCCGCAGUGAAUAGGCCCAAGCAACUGUUUACCAAAAACACAGGUUUAUGCUAAAUCGAAAGAUGACGUAUAUGAGCUGACGCCUGCCCGGUGCCGGAAGGUUAAGAGGAGAUGUCAACCUUAAGGUGAAGCAUUGAAUUGAAGCCCCGGUAAACGGCGGCCGUAACUAUAACGGUCCUAAGGUAGCGAAAUUCCUUGUCAGGUAAGUUCUGACCCGCACGAAAGGUGUAACGAUCUGGGCACUGUCUCAACAACCCGCCCGGCGAAAUUGUAGUACCGGUGAAGAUGCCGGUUACCCGCGACUAGACGGAAAGACCCCAUGGAGCUUUACUGUAGCCUAAUAUUGGAUUUCGGUAUUUCACGUACAGGAUAGGUGGGAGACUGGGAAGCACAGGCGUCAGCUUGUGUGGAGUCGACCUUGGGAUACCACUCUUGGAGUGCUGGAAUUCUAACCUGCGGCUUUGAAGCAAGUCGGGGGACAUUGUUAGGUGGGCAGUUUGACUGGGGCGGUCGCCUCCUAAAGAGUAACGGAGGCGCUCAAAGGUUCGCUCUGCAUGGAUGGAAACCAUGCGUCAGAGUGUAAACGCAAAAGCGAGCCUAACUGCGAGAAUGACGGUUCGAGCAGUAACGAAAGUUGGAGUUAGUGAUCCGGCGGUAUGUGAAUGGAAAUGCCGUCGCUCAACGGAUAAAAGCUACCCUGGGGAUAACAGGCUGAUCUCCCCCAAGAGUCCACAUCGACGGGGAGGUU
Molecule: ribosomal RNA, 1342 nt
Filed under: human gut metagenome
Description: bacterial LSU rRNA
Rfam family: Bacterial large subunit ribosomal RNA
Source: RNAcentral